RNAcentral lists this ribosomal RNA (292 nucleotides) under uncultured bacterium. Its description in RNAcentral is "partial 16S ribosomal RNA". It matches the Rfam family "Bacterial small subunit ribosomal RNA", at positions 505 to 796 of the family's 1533-position model. The record is from RNAcentral.
GUGCCAGCCGCCGCGGUAAUACGAAGGGGGCUAGCGUUGUUCGGAAUUACUGGGCGUAAAGCGCACGUAGGCGGAUUGUUAAGUGAGGGGUGAAAUCCCGGGGCUCAACCCCGGAACUGCCUCUCAUACUGGCAAUCUCGAGUCCGGAAGAGGUGAGUGGAAUUCCGAGUGUAGAGGUGAAAUUCGUAGAUAUUCGGAGGAACACCAGUGGCGAAGGCGGCUCACUGGUCCGGUACUGACGCUGAGGUGCGAAAGCGUGGGGAGCAAACAGGAUUAGAAACCCCGGUAGUCC